GUGUAAUUACCAGUCUUGCCUCCCCACAAAGUCUGUAGGUUUGUGCUGUGUUUGUAUGUGUGAUCUGAGCGCCAUCCGGUGGACAGACGACAUUUUUAUUUGAUACUCGCGCCAUUUUUGCGUUGAGUAUGGGCGCAACCAAGUGCAUAAUUGGAGGGGGGCACUCACCCAUUUUCCUUAACAAACGGAAAUAUAUUAAAAACGAGUAGACGUAAAUAAAUAGAAUAGAUGAAAAGACAGAUCAGUUUGCAAGGUUCAUUAAAGGGGGACAUAUAGAAAACAUUUUCUACUGUAUAUUGGGAGGGAAAGAUUGGUAUCACCUCAACAUUGGCGGGGACACGCCCCCCCAAAAGAAUACGUGGUUACGCCCAUAGUUGUAGGAGACACAGCAGCGACGGAGUCGGAGUAGGAGACACAUUUUUCCUCAGGAGUCACGACACAGCAGACACGGGGUUUUCUUUCUUCAAUUUUAACUUUUCUCAGGAGUUUAAGCCCUUUGUGCUUCUCAGGCCGACGUUUCUGCAGCCAACUGUUGAUGUGGAAGUCACACUUAGGGAAGUUAAGGUGGGCAUCCUGACUGUGAGUGAUGAUACCAGACAUGAUGGUUUCGUCCCAGCUGAUGUCCUGAAUGUUGCUGUGAUACUGGAAGGGGAGAUGUUCCUAAUGCUCUUGCUAUACUGCUUGGACUACUCUAUGUUCUGAACAUUAACUAUCCCAAAGAACUAUGAUAUACCUUUUGAGGUACUUCAGAGAAUUUUCAUGAAAAUUGGCGAGCUGCACAGCAAGAGUUCACAAUCUAAAAAAUAAAUUAAUGCAGUGAUGUAAAAAUGGUGCAAUGCAACCUUAUUGUUCAGGUUUUUUU
Ictalurus punctatus (channel catfish) is the source of this 862-nucleotide long non-coding RNA. NCBI's taxonomy places the organism in Eukaryota, Metazoa, Chordata, Actinopteri, Siluriformes, Ictaluridae. The record is from Ensembl.